RNAcentral lists this ribosomal RNA (514 nucleotides) under uncultured bacterium. RNAcentral describes it as "partial 16S ribosomal RNA". It matches the Rfam family "Bacterial small subunit ribosomal RNA", at positions 28 to 523 of the family's 1533-position model. The record is from RNAcentral.
GAUGAACGCUGGCGGCGUGCCUAAUACAUGCAAGUCGAGCGAAUGGAUUAAGAGCUUGCUCUUAUGAAGUUAGCGGCGGACGGGUGAGUAACACGUGGGUAACCUGCCCAUAAGACUGGGAUAACUCCGGGAAACCGGGGCUAAUACCGGAUAACAUUUUGAACCGCAUGGUUCGAAAUUGAAAGCGGCUUCGGCUGUCACUUAUGGAUGGACCCGCGUCGCAUUAGCUAGUUGGUGAGGUAACGGCUCACCAAGGCAACGAUGCGUAGCCGACCUGAGAGGGUGAUCGGCCACACUGGGACAGAGACACGGCCCAGACUCCUACGGGAGGCAGCAGUAGGGAAUCUUCCGCAAUGGACGAAAGUCUGACGGAGCAACGCCGCGUGAGUGAUGAAGGCUUUCGGGUCGUAAAACUCUGUUGUUAGAGAAGAACAAGUGCUAGUUGAAUAAGCUGGCACCUUGACGGUACCUAACCAGAAAGCCACGGCUAACUACGUGCCAGCAGCCGCCGUAA